CCUACGGGAGGCAGCAGUGAGGAAUAUUGGUCAAUGGCCGAGAGGCUGAACCAGCCAAGUCGCGUGAGGGAAGACGGCCCUACGGGUUGUAAACCUCUUUUGUCGGGGAGCAAAUCGAGUCACGUGUGCCUCAUUGAGAGUACCCGAAGAAAAAGCAUCGGCUAACUCCGUGCCAGCAGCCGCGGUAAUACGGAGGAUGCGAGCGUUAUCCGGAUUUAUUGGGUUUAAAGGGUGCGUAGGCGGGUCGUUAAGUUAGGGGGGAAAGCCCGGGGCUCAACUCCGGAACUGCCUCUGAUACUGGCGGGCUAGAGUGUAGUUGCGGUAGGCGGAAUGUAUGGUGUAGCGGUGAAAUGCAUAGAGAUCAUACAGAACACCGAUUGCGAAGGCAGCUUACCAAACUACGACUGACGUUGAGGCACGAAAGCGUGGGGAGCAAACAGGAUUAGAUACCCUGGUAGUC
This 460-nucleotide ribosomal RNA is filed under the name uncultured bacterium. RNAcentral's name for it is "partial 16S ribosomal RNA". It matches the Rfam family "Bacterial small subunit ribosomal RNA", at positions 338 to 795 of the family's 1533-position model. The record is from RNAcentral.